Molecule: long non-coding RNA, 967 nt
Organism: Helianthus annuus (common sunflower)
Lineage: Eukaryota; Viridiplantae; Streptophyta; Magnoliopsida; Asterales; Asteraceae
Exons: 5
Source: RefSeq, a predicted model, not a curated record
AAAAGCGAGGCGGUGUUGCCGUAAAGUGAUCUUGUUUUGCUAGCAAUAGUUGGUUUGAAGAUGGUGACGUUUUUUUGCGUUGUACGAUCCAUGUCGGCCCGGUGUCCGAGUUGCUGUCCAACUGUGCGUAAAGGCCCGUGUUAAGGUAAGAAUGGUGACGGGUGACAAUCUUCAAACCGACAAGGCAAUUGCGUUAGAAUGCGGUAUACUUGGGUCAGAUGCGGACGCUACCAAGCGAAACCUAAUUGAAAGGAAGUCCUUCCGUGCAAUGUCGGAUGCACAAAGACUCGAAGUAGCUGAGAGGAUAUCGGUGAUGGGGAAGUCGUCUCCUAACAAUAACUGUUACUCGUGCAAGCUCUGAGGAAAAGAGGACAUGUCGUUGCGGUUACUGGAGAUGGAACUGGCGAUGCCCCUGCUUUACAUGAGGCGGAUAUCGGUCUUGCUAUGGGUACUCAAGGCACUGAAGUAGCAGAAGAGAGUAGUGACAUCAUCAUAUUGGACGAUAACUUUGCUUCGGUUGUUAGGGAGGUUGAAAAGAGGUGAACAGCUGGGUUGAAAAGAGGGAAUAGUGGUCAACAAUGGUCAGAAGGGUGAAAAGAGGGAACAACUGUCCGAACUCAGCUUGGUUGAAAAGAGGGAACAAUGGUCAACAGUGGUCGGUAUGCUGAAAAGAGGUGAACUGUGGUCAGAAUUCAGCAGUCUGCUGAAAAGAGAAUACUAUUUUCAUCUUGGUCUUCCAUUGUUUCUCACCUCUAUACAUUUGAUUCUUGCAUUAUUUCUCUAUUUUUAACAUCUUGGUUCUGCGUUGUGGUAAGUAUUUCUCACAUUUCGACUGUUUCUUUUGUAUGUGUGUUGUACUCUUACAUAGUGAUAACAAUGUUUGAUACACCGAUUGUAAAAAUCUUACACUAUUUUAGUUGUUAAGACUUAUCGACUGUUUUAUUUUAUAUGUGAUAACAAUCUUCAC